AGAAGCCUGGGAGCCACUGAGGUGGAUGCCAAGAAUCUAAGGGUGAGCCAGGGUCAAAACAGUUCUUGUGGAGACAGGACCUGUGACCAGGGCCCAGGACUAUCCUGGGACAGCAGCCACAACACAGGCCCUGUGAGUGGAACAAUGUCUACCAACGACACAGGGAAAAAAACCAAGAAUGAUCAGUAUUGUUUCUAGGGAUUUCUUUUCGUCACAUGAGAAAAAGUCUGCAGGGAUGAAGCUCUCACUGUCAUGGCAUAUGAAUACAAAAGAAAAGGCUAAACUUAAUGAAUGGCACCAGUGUUUACAGCCACAGGGUUUCCACAGCACUGAGAGGGACAAGUUGGACAUGAGGAAGAAUUUCUACUCAGAAGAAGAGAAGCUGGCAGUCCGUGGCUUGGACAGGAACACUCUUGGCUGGACCAUUGCCUUGCCGUGGGCCCAGCCUGAAGAAAAGGGUGACAACAUGCAUGCCUAAUGUGUAUUGAUCUGCAAUGGGAUGAAGCACUGCUGCUGGCUGUGUAUACAGGAAGGUAGCUUUAUCUGUGUAAGAUCAUUGCUCUUUCACUUCAGUAACUCCUUCCUGUUGAAGGCUGGAAGAUCAUCAGACCCAGAACAAAGCCUGCUGAAGUGAAUAAAGGUCCCAAGAGUCAUUAAGAGGGAAGGUUACUGAAGAGAGAGAGAGAAAAAAAAAAAGAAGGCAUUAAAAAUGUUUACAUUUGGAAAUAUCAAGGUAUUUCACUGUGAGCUUUAUCCACAUCUGCUCAUGUAUCAUGGUGAUUCAGAAGAGUCUUAGUCCAGAUGUGCAUUGCUUUCAUGAGGUGGACACCACACCCAACUGCACUUGAUAUAAAUUUGAGUCCCUGUAUCUGUUCUAUUGUACAACAGUGGGAAGGUAAUCUGUUUUUCGUAGAAAAUACAGACCUGCAAAGGAGAUGAGCAUAUAACAGAGACCUCCCAUUCCCACAAUGACUCCAUAGUUAUUUGCACUGAUUGUAAAACAAAAUCAUAAAGAGUACAGCUAUGUAUCUUUAGAUAAUUGCUAGUCAGCUUUAGGGAUUGAUAUCAUUGACUGAUGUUCUGAAUUGUGAAGCUCUGUGUAUAUUUCUCAAAAUAACAUUAUACUACUGAUAC
Molecule: long non-coding RNA, 1134 nt
Organism: Gallus gallus (chicken)
Lineage: Eukaryota; Metazoa; Chordata; Aves; Galliformes; Phasianidae
Source: Ensembl